This is a ribosomal RNA of 425 nucleotides. It matches the Rfam family "Eukaryotic large subunit ribosomal RNA", at positions 118 to 547 of the family's 3401-position model.
AAAUCUGGCACUUUCAGUGUCCGAGUUGUAAUUUGAAGAAGGUAACUUUGGAGUUGGCCCUUGUCUAUGUUCCUUGGAACAGGACGUCACAGAGGGUGAGAAUCCCGUGCGAUGAGGUGUCCAAUUCUAUGUAAAGUGCUUUCGAAGAGUCGAGUUGUUUGGGAAUGCAGCUCUAAGUGGGUGGUAAAUUCCAUCUAAAGCUAAAUAUUGGCGAGAGACCGAUAGCGAACAAGUACAGUGAUGGAAAGAUGAAAAGAACUUUGAAAAGAGAGUGAAAAAGUACGUGAAAUUGUUGAAAGGGAAGGGCUUGAGAUCAGACUCGGUAUUUUGCAAGCCUAUCCUUCGUGGAGAGGUUUAUUAGCAGCUUACCGGGCCAGCAUCGGUUUGGAUGGUAGGAUAAUGGCAUUGGAAUGUGGCUCCUCGGA